Aedes aegypti (yellow fever mosquito) is the source of this 46-nucleotide non-coding RNA. The record is from Rfam. NCBI's taxonomy places the organism in Eukaryota, Metazoa, Arthropoda, Insecta, Diptera, Culicidae.
CAAUCGGCCCUUUUCAGGGCCAAAAAAUGUGUUUAACCCGUAUAGG